CAUUGUGAAGCUCAGAGCGUUAACCUUUUAAGUUAAAAUUAGAGACCUCGCAAUCUCCACAAUGA
RNAcentral lists this transfer RNA (65 nucleotides) under Cricetus cricetus (black-bellied hamster). RNAcentral describes it as "tRNA-Lys". The record is from RNAcentral. Lineage: Eukaryota; Metazoa; Chordata; Mammalia; Rodentia; Cricetidae.